GCCUCAUGUGGAAGAUGAACUGAAAGAUGCACCAUGAUAUCAAAGAAGAUGGGAGGGAAUAUCAUCUCGAGCUUAUUGAGAGUAAUGAUAAUCUUCUUCUCUAAUAUAUCGAUUUGAUUUCGCCUCAAUGUCUUUGCACAUAAGUCUCGAAAAUAAGUUUUCAGAUCAAGUAAUGCAUCGCAUACAUUAUUCGGCAACAAUCUACGUAAACCAACUGGGAGCACA
Molecule: long non-coding RNA, 225 nt
Filed under: Elaeis guineensis (African oil palm)
Lineage: Eukaryota; Viridiplantae; Streptophyta; Magnoliopsida; Arecales; Arecaceae
Description: long non-coding RNA (EGUI_LNC040797)
Source: RNAcentral